AUUGCUUCUUGGCCUUUUGGCUAAGAUCAAGUAUAGUAUCUUUUCAAAAACCAACUCUUUGUUUCAUUGAUCUUUUGUGUUGUUUUAGUCUCA
RNAcentral lists this small nuclear RNA (93 nucleotides) under Fukomys damarensis (Damara mole-rat). Its description in RNAcentral is "U2 spliceosomal RNA". It matches the Rfam family "U2 spliceosomal RNA". From Rfam's summary of the family: U2 is a small nuclear RNA (snRNA) component of the spliceosome (involved in pre-mRNA splicing). Lineage: Eukaryota; Metazoa; Chordata; Mammalia; Rodentia; Bathyergidae. The record is from Rfam by way of RNAcentral.